CAACAGAGCAAAGGGACCCAGACCUUCUCGUCUAUGGCUAAAAUAAAAAUGUCCAUAUAGCUCUGGAGAAUGCAGGUGUCAACAUACACCCUGGGCUUCGGGAAGAGCACGCUCACAACUUGGAAGAAGAUACCAACCUACCCAGCAAGAACCCAUGAUUAAUAGGCAUCUAGGCAGAAAGAAGCACUACUCACAAAGGCUUUCUCUUCUCUCCAUGAAAAUAAAGAAACUACAAACAGCACUGAUCUAA
RNAcentral lists this long non-coding RNA (250 nucleotides) under Phascolarctos cinereus (koala). RNAcentral describes it as "lncRNA (ENSPCIG00000035641.1)". The record is from RNAcentral. Lineage: Eukaryota; Metazoa; Chordata; Mammalia; Diprotodontia; Phascolarctidae.